CCUACGGGAGGCAGCAGUGGGGAAUAUUGCACAAUGGGGGAAACCCUGAUGCAGCGACGCCGCGUGAGUGAAGAAGUAAUUAGUUAUGUAAAGCUCUAUCAGCAAGGAAGAAAAUGACGGUACCUGAGUAAGAAGCCCCGGCUAACUACGUGCCAGCAGCCGCGGUAAUACGUAGGGGGCAAGCGUUAGCCGGAUUUACUGGGUGUAAAGGGAGCGUAUACGGCAGUGCAAGUCUGGAGUGAAAGGCGGGGGCUCAACCCGCGGACUGCUCUGGAAACUGUCCGGCGGGAGUGCAGGAGAGGUAAGUGGAAUUACAAGUGUAGCGGUGAAAUGCGUAGAUAUUAGGAGGAACACCAGUGGCGAAGGCGGCUUACUGGACUGUAACUGACGUUGAGGCUCGAAAGCGUGGGUAGCAAACAGGAUUAGAGACCCUGGUAGUC
Molecule: ribosomal RNA, 440 nt
Filed under: uncultured bacterium
Lineage: Bacteria
Description: partial 16S ribosomal RNA
Rfam family: Bacterial small subunit ribosomal RNA
Source: RNAcentral